CGGAGGAAAAGAAACUAACAAGGAUUCCCCUAGUAACUGCGAGUGAAGCGGGAAAAGCUCAAAUUUAAAAUCUGAUAGUCUUUGGCUGUCCGAGUUGUAAUCUAGAGAAGUGUUAUCCGCGCUGGACCGUGUACAAGUCUCCUGGAAUGGAGCGUCAUAGAGGGUGAGAAUCCCGUCUUUGACACGGACUGCCAGGGCUUUGUGAUGCGCUCUCAAAGAGUCGAGUUGUUUGGGAAUGCAGCUCAAAAUGGGAGGUAAAUUCCUUCUAAAGCUAAAUAUUGGCGAGAGACCGAUAGCGAACAAGUACCGUGAGGGAAAGAUGAAAAGAACUUUGGAAAGAGAGUUAAACAGUACGUGAAAUUGCUGAAAGGGAAACGCUUGAAGUCAGUCGCGUUGGUCAGGAAUCAACCUUGCUUUUGCUGGGUGUACUUUCUGGUUGACGGGUCAGCAUCAAUUUUGACCGUUGGAUAAAGUCUGAGGGAAGGUGGCAUCUUCGGAUGUGUUAUAGCCCUUGGUCGCAUACAACGGUUGGGAUUGAGGAACUCAGCACGCCGCAAGGCCGGGUAUUUAUACUACGUUCGUGCUUAGGAUGCUGGCAUAAUGGCUUUAAUCGACCCGUCUUGAAACACGGACCAAGGAGUCUAACAUGCCUGCGAGUGUUUGGGUGGAAAACCCGAGCGCGCAAUGAAAGUGAAAGUUGAGAUCCCUGUCGUGGGGAGCAUCGACGCCCGGACUUGACCUUUUGUGACGGAUCCGCGGUAGAGCAUGUAUGUUGGGACCCGAAAGAUGGUGAACUAUGCCUGAAUAGGGUGAAGCCAGAGGAAACUCUGGUGGAGGCUCGUAGCGAUUCUGACGUGCAAAUCGAUCGUCAAAUUUGGGUAUAGGGGCGAAAGACUAAUCGA
RNAcentral lists this ribosomal RNA (902 nucleotides) under Galerina stordalii. RNAcentral describes it as "eukaryotic LSU rRNA". It matches the Rfam family "Eukaryotic large subunit ribosomal RNA", at positions 51 to 938 of the family's 3401-position model. The record is from RNAcentral. Lineage: Eukaryota; Fungi; Basidiomycota; Agaricomycetes; Agaricales; Galerinaceae.